UGACAGGUCACAGAACAAUGGGAGCUAUCUACCCUUACCCACAAUUUAAACUUUGAAAAUCAUCUUGUGGUCUGUUCUCCUCGGGGGGGAUGGAGGUGGCUCAGUGGUGAUCACAUGACCUCAGUGUGAAAACUCAGUCAUGGAGACAUCAGGUAUCUUCUCCUCCCGGGAUACAAUAACCUGUAACCACAACAAACCUUAAAUCCUCCAUUGCGAAAUCAUGUUUUGUUGACGGAUAAUAUGAUUGUUCUUUUGGUUACUUCGGAUCUGCGACAAUAAAGGAAAAGCCAUAAUGUCUCCUCUUCAUCACUCCUCCUCUUCCUCACUGUUGACAUGUCUGAUCCUGACUGACUGUCUUCAUCUCCUCCUCUCUCUGACCCUCGUCGUGACCUCUGACCUCCUGCUUCUCCUCCUGCUGCUCCUCUGAGACUCCCUGAGGCCUGAUGAGAAGAAGAAGAAGAGAGUCUGAAGAAAGUAUUUACACUUCCAUCGCAGCUGAGUCUGAAUCCUCCUCUAAACUCCUGCUGGAUGUCUCUGUUUGUAGCCAGGUCUGUGGAUGCUAAUGGAUGCUAAUAGAUGCUAACUUCUGUCUAUCUGUCUAGACUGGAUUCAAAUGAAUUCUGGUUUAUGGUGCACGACACGUUGCCCUCAGGAUGAAUUGUAAAAUGUUGGUGAUCCUUUGACAUUUUUAACCCAGUACCAUAUUUAAGCACAAAAAAGAAUACCACCAACACCGAGGCAAUAGGCCAAACAACAACUAAGGGACUGCAGAUGAAAACUAUAAUUUAAGCUAGUUCGGAUACAUUGGUGUUUGGUUGAAUGUUGAUAAAUGUACACUGUCCAUUUAAAAAAGAAGAACCAUUGUUAAAAAUACUGCUUUUCGUUUAUGGUUGAAUAUCUGCUGAAUGUA
Gymnodraco acuticeps is the source of this 910-nucleotide long non-coding RNA. RefSeq lists it as uncharacterized. The record is from RefSeq and is a predicted model, not a curated record. The transcript has 3 exons. NCBI's taxonomy places the organism in Eukaryota, Metazoa, Chordata, Actinopteri, Perciformes, Bathydraconidae.